RNAcentral lists this ribosomal RNA (253 nucleotides) under uncultured bacterium. Its description in RNAcentral is "partial 16S ribosomal RNA". It matches the Rfam family "Bacterial small subunit ribosomal RNA", at positions 524 to 776 of the family's 1533-position model. The record is from RNAcentral.
UACGGAGGAUCCAAGCGUUAUCCGGAUUCAUUGGGUUUAAAGGGUGCGUAGGCGGACUGAUAAGUCAGCGGUGAAAUCCCACGGCUCAACUGUGGAACUGCCGUUGAUACUGUCAGUCUUGAGUACAGAUGAUGUGGGCGGAAUAUGACAUGUAGUGGUGAAAUACUUAGAUAUGUCAUAGAACACCGAUUGCGAAGGCAGCUCACAAAACUGUCACUGACGCUGAGGCACGAAAGCGUGGGGAUCAAACAGG